AAACUCACCACCUGGCCGUGGACACCUGUGUCAGCAUGUGGGACCUGGUUCUCUCCAUCGCCUUGUCUGUGGGGUGCACUGGUGCCGUGCCCCUCAUCCAGUCUCGGAUUGUGGGAGGCUGGGAGUGUGAGAAGCAUUCCCAACCCUGGCAGGUGGCUGUGUACAGUCAUGGAUGGGCACACUGUGGGGGUGUCCUGGUGCACCCCCAGUGGGUGCUCACAGCUGCCCAUUGCCUAAAGAAGUAAGUAGGACCCUGGGAUCUGGGGAGGGAAUGGCUGUGUCCCACAGGAAUAACAGCGGGAUGCUUCCCCCAGGGUCACUUCUCAGGAAUAGCCAGGUCUGGCUGGGUCGGCACAACCUGUUUGAGCCUGAAGACACAGGCCAGAGGGUCCCUGUCAGCCACAGCUUCCCACACCCGCUCUACAAUAUGAGCCUUCUGAAGCAUCAAAGCCUUAGACCAGAUGAAGACUCCAGCCAUGACCUCAUGCUGCUCCGCCUGUCAGAGCCUGCCAAGAUCACAGAUGUUGUGAAGGUCCUGGGCCUGCCCACCCAGGAGCCAGCACUGGGGACCACCUGCUACGCCUCAGGCUGGGGCAGCAUCGAACCAGAGGAGUUCUUGCGCCCCAGGAGUCUUCAGUGUGUGAGCCUCCAUCUCCUGUCCAAUGACAUGUGUGCUAGAGCUUACUCUGAGAAGGUGACAGAGUUCAUGUUGUGUGCUGGGCUCUGGACAGGUGGUAAAGACACUUGUGGGGGUGAUUCUGGGGGUCCACUUGUCUGUAAUGGUGUGCUUCAAGGUAUCACAUCAUGGGGCCCUGAGCCAUGUGCCCUGCCUGAAAAGCCUGCUGUGUACACCAAGGUGGUGCAUUACCGGAAGUGGAUCAAGGACACCAUCGCAGCCAACCCCUGAGUGCCCCUGUCCCACCCCUACCUCUAGUAAAUUUAAGUCCACCUCACGUUCUGGCAUCACUUGGCCUUUCUGGAUGCUGGACACCUGAAGCUUGGAACUCACCUGGCCGAAGCUCGAGCCUCCUGAGUCCUACUGACCUGUGCUUUCUGGUGUGGAGUCCAGGGCUGCUAGGAAAAGGAAUGGGCAGACACAGGUGUAUGCCAAUGUUUCUGAAAUGGGUAUAAUUUCGUCCUCUCCUUCGGAACACUGGCUGUCUCUGAAGACUUCUCGCUCAGUUUCAGUGAGGACACACACAAAGACGUGGGUGACCAUGUUGUUUGUGGGGUGCAGAGAUGGGAGGGGUGGGGCCCACCCUGGAAGAGUGGACAGUGACACAAGGUGGACACUCUCUACAGAUCACUGAGGAUAAGCUGGAGCCACAAUGCAUGAGGCACACACACAGCAAGGAUGACGCUGUAAACAUAGCCCACGCUGUCCUGGGGGCACUGGGAAGCCUAGAUAAGGCCGUGAGCAGAAAGAAGGGGAGGAUCCUCCUAUGUUGUUGAAGGAGGGACUAGGGGGAGAAACUGAAAGCUGAUUAAUUACAGGAGGUUUGUUCAGGUCCCCCAAACCACCGUCAGAUUUGAUGAUUUCCUAGCAGGACUUACAGAAAUAAAGAGCUAUCAUGCUGUGGUUUAUUAUGGUUUGUUACAUUGAUAGGAUACAUACUGAAAUCAGCAAACAAAACAGAUGUAUAGAUUAGAGUGUGGAGAAAACAGAGGAAAACUUGCAGUUACGAAGACUGGCAACUUGGCUUUACUAAGUUUUCAGACUGGCAGGAAGUCAAACCUAUUAGGCUGAGGACCUUGUGGAGUGUAGCUGAUCCAGCUGAUAGAGGAACUAGCCAGGUGGGGGCCUUUCCCUUUGGAUGGGGGGCAUAUCUGACAGUUAUUCUCUCCAAGUGGAGACUUACGGACAGCAUAUAAUUCUCCCUGCAAGGAUGUAUGAUAAUAUGUACAAAGUAAUUCCAACUGAGGAAGCUCACCUGAUCCUUAGUGUCCAGGGUUUUUACUGGGGGUCUGUAGGACGAGUAUGGAGUACUUGAAUAAUUGACCUGAAGUCCUCAGACCUGAGGUUCCCUAGAGUUCAAACAGAUACAGCAUGGUCCAGAGUCCCAGAUGUACAAAAACAGGGAUUCAUCACAAAUCCCAUCUUUAGCAUGAAGGGUCUGGCAUGGCCCAAGGCCCCAAGUAUAUCAAGGCACUUGGGCAGAACAUGCCAAGGAAUCAAAUGUCAUCUCCCAGGAGUUAUUCAAGGGUGAGCCCUUUACUUGGGAUGUACAGGCUUUGAGCAGUGCAGGGCUGCUGAGUCAACCUUUUAUUGUACAGGGGAUGAGGGAAAGGGAGAGGAUGAGGAAGCCCCCCUGGGGAUUUGGUUUGGUCUUGUGAUCAGGUGGUCUAUGGGGCUAUCCCUACAAAGAAGAAUCCAGAAAUAGGGGCACAUUGAGGAAUGAUACUGAGCCCAAAGAGCAUUCAAUCAUUGUUUUAUUUGCCUUCUUUUCACACCAUUGGUGAGGGAGGGAUUACCACCCUGGGGUUAUGAAGAUGGUUGAACACCCCACACAUAGCACCGGAGAUAUGAGAUCAACAGUUUCUUAGCCAUAGAGAUUCACAGCCCAGAGCAGGAGGACGCUGCACACCAUGCAGGAUGACAUGGGGGAUGCGCUCGGGAUUGGUGUGAAGAAGCAAGGACUGUUAGAGGCAGGCUUUAUAGUAACAAGACGGUGGGGCAAACUCUGAUUUCCGUGGGGGAAUGUCAUGGUCUUGCUUUACUAAGUUUUGAGACUGGCAGGUAGUGAAACUCAUUAGGCUGAGAACCUUGUGGAAUGCAGCUGACCCAGCUGAUAGAGGAAGUAGCCAGGUGGGAGCCUUUCCCAGUGGGUGUGGGACAUAUCUGGCAAGAUUUUGUGGCACUCCUGGUUACAGAUACUGGGGCAGCAAAUAAAACUGAAUCUUGUUUUCAGACCUUA
Molecule: RNA transcript, 2915 nt
Organism: Homo sapiens (human)
Lineage: Eukaryota; Metazoa; Chordata; Mammalia; Primates; Hominidae
Gene: KLK2
Gene name: kallikrein related peptidase 2
Exons: 5
Source: RefSeq, marked reviewed